AGGACGAACGCUGGCGGCGUGCUUAACACAUGCAAGUCGAACGGUAAGGCCCCUUCGGGGGUACACGAGUGGCGAACGGGUGAGUAACACGUGAGCAACCUGCCCUUGACUCUGGAAUAACAGCUGGAAACAGCUGCUAAUACUGGAUAUGACCUCCGGCGACAUCGCCUGGAGGUGGAAAGCUCCGGCGGUCAAGGAUGGGCUCGCGGCCUAUCAGCUUGUUGGUGAGGUAAUGGCUCACCAAGGCUUCGACGGGUA
Molecule: ribosomal RNA, 258 nt
Filed under: uncultured bacterium
Lineage: Bacteria
Description: partial small subunit ribosomal RNA
Rfam family: Bacterial small subunit ribosomal RNA
Source: RNAcentral